RNAcentral lists this ribosomal RNA (1581 nucleotides) under Triticum aestivum (bread wheat). RNAcentral's name for it is "partial small subunit ribosomal RNA". The record is from RNAcentral. Lineage: Eukaryota; Viridiplantae; Streptophyta; Magnoliopsida; Poales; Poaceae.
AUGCUUCCGGCACCUCCUCCGUUCUCCCACGGCGACUUCGUCGGCGUUCUCUCCCGCUGCGCCACCCUCGCUCACCUGAAGCAGCUCCAUGCCCACUCCGUCGUCACCGCCCGCGCCGCCACGCAACCCACCACCUUCCACCUCCUCCGUUUCGCAUCCCUCCGCCUCUCCUGCCUCCCCUACGCCCGCCGCCUCUUUGACUCCACGCCCUAUCCCAAUGUCUUCCUCUACUCCGCCAUGCUCUCUGCCUACGCCGCCGCAUCCCCCGCGCAGGCGUACGCCCAGGACGCCCUCGCCCUCUUCCUCCGUAUGCUCCGCCGCGGCCGCUCCGCGCCCAACCAGUUCGUCUACCCGCUGGUCCUCCGCGCCGCCUGCGUCGUCGGCGUACAGCUGGUUAGGUCGAUCCAUUCCCACGCCUACAAGAGCGGGUUCCACGCGCAUGAUGUUGUAAGGACUUCGCUGCUUGAUGGGUACUCGAGGUAUGGCAUGAUGCUGGACGCACGAAAGCUGUUUGGUGGUUUGACCGAGAGGAAUGUGGUCUCCUGGACCGCGCUACUGUCCGGCUACACAAGGGCCGGGAAGGUCGGAGACGCGAUUGCUCUGUUUGAACGGAUGCCCGAGAGGGAUGUGGCUGCGUGGAAUGCGAUGAUCGCUGGCUGCACGCAGAAUGGAUUGUUUCUGGAGGCUCUGGGGAUUUGUAGCAGGAUGGUGGAAGAGGGGUUCCGGCCGAAUGGGACCACAGUUGCUUGUGUGCUGUCUGCAUGUGGGCACCUUGGGAUGCUGAAAAUCGGGAAGGUCAUCCAUGGUUAUGCGUGGAGGAGCUGUGUUGGUUUUGGCUCGUCUGUUGUGAAUGGGUUGAUUGAUAUGUAUGGCAAAUGCGGGACUUUGAAGGGGGCGAGGUGGAUGUUUGAUGAGUUUUCCGACAAGAGUCUGACCACAUGGAAUUGUCUGAUUAAUUGCCUUGCACUACAUGGGCACAGCAAGAGUGCAAUUGCUGUCUUCGGUGAGAUGAGGAACGCAGGAAUUGAACCUGAUGAGGUUACAUUUGUGGGACUGUUAAAUGCGUGCACCCAUGGUGGAUUUGUCGAUGAAGGGCUUAUGUACUUUGAACUCAUGUGCGAUGAGCUGAGAAUUGAGCCAGAGAUUGAGCAUUAUGGGUGUAUCAUUGACCUUCUUGGUCGAGCAGCACGAUUUGAAGAUGUAAUGAAUGUAAUCAAAGAUAUGAAAGUCCAACCAGAUGAGGUCAUUUGGGGGUCACUUCUCAAUGCCUGUAGGGUACACAGACAGCUAGAGCUUGCUGAGUUUGCUAUAAGAAAAUUACUGCAGUUGAACCCGAACAAUGUUAAUUAUGUUGUGAUGCUGGCAAACUUAUACAGUGAAGGUGGAUCCUGGGAACAGGUUACGAAGGUAAGGAAGCUGAUGCAGGAGGAUAUGGGCAAGAAAGUGCCUGGUUGUAGUUGGAUCGAGGUGGAUCGCAAGACACACAUGUUUUACUCUGGUGACGAUACUCAUCCUGUAUCAGAGGAUAUCUGUAACACUCUUGUGGAAUUAGUGGCCUCAAUGGAAAUGUGCCAGGAUUAA